CAAAAUGAUUCGGCGUGCCUUUGCAUCUCCCCUGAAAUCCCAUGGUCUCACAUAUUUGCAACAUUGCCUUUUUCAAGGCCGCAUGAACAAAAGUCAUCCACUUUAUGUGUUCCAUGUGUGCUGAAAACACCCUUGGCUUAUUCCUCCUUUCUGUUAGUGAGAUUAUUGUGCCAAAUUUGCUCAGUAAAUUGGCAUUGCAAUUUCAGAACGGUGUAAAGGAACCUAGUAAAUUCCUUCCUAAGGGUAAUCAAUUGCUUAUUAAUUUGGAGACAAUAUCAAUGCCAAAGUUGAAGGAAAAAGUUCAAAGGUGGUAGUGAAGGUAGAGAAGGAAGAGACGGAGUAUUUGCCUAAUUUAAUUUAAAGGAAAGAAGAAUCACGUUCAAAAGAAUGAAGAUAUGCAGGAAGAAUGGAGUAACAAACGGUCUGCAGUUUAUGCAGAUGAAAUCUAGCCAGAAGAGAUGUUUGAUAAAGUGUUAGUAUAUACUAGGGAAGAAUGUGGACCUCCUGCAU
Molecule: unclassified non-coding RNA, 510 nt
Filed under: Hevea brasiliensis (rubber tree)
Lineage: Eukaryota; Viridiplantae; Streptophyta; Magnoliopsida; Malpighiales; Euphorbiaceae
Source: RNAcentral